Molecule: ribosomal RNA, 407 nt
Filed under: Bradyrhizobium canariense
Lineage: Bacteria; Pseudomonadati; Pseudomonadota; Alphaproteobacteria; Hyphomicrobiales; Nitrobacteraceae
Description: bacterial SSU rRNA
Rfam family: Bacterial small subunit ribosomal RNA
Source: RNAcentral
GGCUCAGAGCGAACGCUGGCGGCAGGCUUAACACAUGCAAGUCGAGCGGGCGUAGCAAUACGUCAGCGGCAGACGGGUGAGUAACGCGUGGGAACAUACCUUUUGGUUCGGAACAACACAGGGAAACUUGUGCUAAUACCGGAUAAGCCCUUACGGGGAAAGAUUUAUCGCCGAAAGAUUGGCCCGCGUCUGAUUAGCUAGUUGGUGAGGUAAUGGCUCACCAAGGCGACGAUCAGUAGCUGGUCUGAGAGGAUGAUCAGCCACAUUGGGACUGAGACACGGCCCAAACUCCUACGGGAGGCAGCAGUGGGGAAUAUUGGACAAUGGGCGCAAGCCUGAUCCAGCCAUGCCGCGUGAGUGAUGAAGGCCCUAGGGUUGUAAAGCUCUUUUGUGCGGGAAGAUAAUGA